This is an RNA transcript of Drosophila innubila, 3059 nucleotides long. It is a transcript of the gene named trehalase, with no coding region annotated. The transcript is spliced from 7 exons. NCBI's taxonomy places the organism in Eukaryota, Metazoa, Arthropoda, Insecta, Diptera, Drosophilidae. The record is from RefSeq and is a predicted model, not a curated record.
UUAGAAGUAUUCUUGCACUGACAGGGCGCAGGUUGUGUCUGUGUCGUUGACGCAAGUGCUAAGUGCAAUUGAGAGGGAAAAACUUACUCCGAUUAUCCUGUAGACAAAUACACAUUUACUUAAUUAGGGAAACGCAAUCUACACCAAAGUGCGGUCGCCAUUCGCGAAGCCACAAUUUCCUAUUUUGUGUUAAAAAUUAAAAAGUAAAAAUAACACUUUUUAACCAGUCAAAGCCCACUCAGUGUGAUAAUUUCGGUACUUAAUUACUAACAUACACACAUACUUGUGUAUGUAGAGUCGCGUACUCGUACAUAAGUGAUCAAGUGAGCGGCAAGGCGUUUAAUUAACCGACUAAAUAAUACGAGCAAUCAAAGCGAUACAGUUCCUUAGUCUCAGUACAAUUGAAAUGACAAUGCUAAGGACAUUCGAUCUAAUAAUCCUCCUCUGCUGCCUCGCAGCAUUGCCUCAACUACGGGCGAGGAGUCUAAUCGAAUUCGGUACGGAUAGCGAGAAUGCGAUUGUUAAGAACGUCGAGACCUACAACUUUACCUCGUGCCAAAUCUACUGCUAUGGCCCCCUUUUGGACACUGUACAAAUGGCGAAGCUUUAUCCGGACUCGAAGACGUUUGUGGAUAUGAAACUGAAAGUUUCGCCUGAAAAAACUAUGGAGGACUUUGAAGCUUUUAUGACAUCGAAGAAUAAUAAGCCCAGCAAAGAUGAAAUUCAAGAAUUUGUUGACGCUCACUUUGGUGAAAAGGGCACCGAGUUGGAUGUGUGGACGCCAACAGAUUGGAUUGAGCAUCCCAGUUUUCUUGAUCUCGUCCGCGAUCCGGAUCUUAAGCAAUGGGGCGCUGAUCUGAAUAACAUCUGGAAGGAACUGGGUCGUAAAAUGAAAGAUGAUGUUCACAAGAAUCCCAAUUACUACUCUAUCAUACCCGUACCCAAUCCUGUUAUCGUGCCAGGUGGUCGUUUCAUUGAAUUCUACUACUGGGACUCCUACUGGAUCAUUCGUGGUUUGCUCUACAGCGAGAUGAGGGACACAGCACGUGGCAUGAUCGAGAACUUUUUGUCCAUUGUUCAACGCAUUGGAUUCAUACCAAAUGGUGGUCGAGUCUACUACUGGGGUCGCUCCCAGCCUCCGCUCUUGACGGCAAUGGUGAAGAGCUAUGUUGACUUCACAAAGGACGAUCUGUUUGCCAUCAAUGCUUUGGAGGUGCUGGAGCAUGAGUUUGAGUAUUUCAUUAACAAUCACACCGUGCAGGCUAAGGGUCAUAACCUGGUCGCAUACCGCGAUUCAUCAACUGGACCGCGUCCCGAAUCCUACAGUGAGGAUGUAGAAACAUCUCAGAGCUUUGCCACACAGGAGGCUAAGGAAGAUCACUACAGCGAACUGAAGUCAGCUGCUGAGUCAGGCAUGGACUUCAGCUCCCGCUGGUACAUCAACGAGAAUGGCACCAAUGUUGGAAACCUAACAGAUGCCAAGACCCGUUCCAUUGUGCCCGUCGAGCUGAAUGCCAUCCUAUACUGGAACGCCAAGAUUAUUGCCGAAUUCCACUCGAAGGCCGGCAACAUCGAGAAGAUGAUGGAGUACGAGACCAAGGCACAAAAGAUUCAAGAGGCAAUUCAAGCGGUGCUGUGGAACGAAGAAGCCGGCUGCUGGCUGGACUAUGAUUUGAUCAACGAUAAACCACGCAACUACUUCGUUCCAACCAAUCUGUCACCAUUGUGGGUUAAGGCAUACAAUAUCUCCGAUUCGGAGAAAAUCUCUGAGAAAGUUCUAAACUAUGUUGAGAAGAACAAACUGGACACAUUCCCGGGUGGCGUGCCGAAUACGCUGUCUCAGACGGGUGAGCAGUGGGACUUCCCCAAUGUGUGGGCCCCCAUGCAAUACAUUCUUGUCGAGGGUCUAGAUAAUUUGGGAACACCGGAGGCAAAGGAACUGUCCAAGACAUGGGGCCAACGUUGGGUCAAGUCCAACUUUGAGGCAUAUCGCGAGACUCGCGCCAUGUUUGAAAAGUACGAUGCGGAAAAGUUUGGAGGACAUGGCGGCGGUGGAGAGUACGGAGUGCAGAAGGGCUUUGGCUGGACCAAUGGCGUUAUUAUUGAAUGGCUGGCCAAAUACGGACGUCACAUCUCCCUGAGCAACACGGGCGCUUCAGGUGAUGAGGAGCAAUAGAAUGGCCCAACUAUGCCUUGAACCAUCGACGCUAUCAUCAUUGAAUAUACAUUAAAUCCGAGCAUCAGUCCAAUCUUACCUUGGGCUGAUCUCACACAAAUCCAUUCAUACAUACUUAGAUUUAAAUCGAAGCUCACCGAGAUGCUCAAUUAUUUAGAUUUACGUAUUUAUAAGGACUGCUCAAAGUAAAACCAAAAUCAUCACGUCAGCGCGUUAACAUUAAAUAGUCUAAGCACUGUCGCUUUCCCUGUCACUCCUACUGUCGCGCUCUCUAUCUUACUGUCUUUAACCUACGUCUCUCUCUACGCAUCGUCAACAACAAUCAAUGAUGUCUUCGACUUAGAACUAAGAACUACAACUUUCAACUACUUAAGUAUCUACUCUCAGCAAUCACCAAGGACUAACACUAAAUGAUUGAUGUUCCGGAACUGAUCGCACACACACACAUGUAUCUAUAUAUAUUUCGCUUAUCAUUUGCCUUCAACUUUGCCUUCGCUCCGCCUCGUCUCGUCUUUCGCCACGCAUAUGUGUCUGUUCUAUCAAGUUUCUAAGAGUGUCACAUCUAAAUAUGCCGUCAAAAUUUUUACUUCGGAGCAGCCGACUAAUAACUGUGCUGGGAGCGACCGCUGUGGCGUUAGUCGGAGCAUUCGCCGGACGAUUCAUCUGGUGAGAAAUUUAAUGCGAGGCAACUGUUAUGGAAAUUGUGAUUCCCCCUUCCGUGUGCAUGUCAGUGUGUGUGUUUAUAGUUCCAAUUACAUGAUAAACCUUUUCAGUUUUUGUUUUCUUGAAUGCACGGAGAUUGCAGUAUUAGUUAUCAAUUUGCAAUUGACUUAUUGUUAUCAGAAUUUGAAUUUGUAAUAUAUUAAACAAAUACUUAGUUAAA